AUUGAACGCUGGCGGCAGGCCUAACACAUGCAAGUCGAGCGGUAGCACAGAGAGCUUGCUCUCGGGUGACGAGCGGCGGACGGGUGAGUAAUGUCUGGGAAACUGCCUGAUGGAGGGGGAUAACUACUGGAAACGGUAGCUAAUACCGCAUAACGUCGCAAGACCAAAGUGGGGGACCUUCGGGCCUCAUGCCAUCAGAUGUGCCCAGAUGGGAUUAGCUAGUAGGUGGGGUAACGGCUCACCUAGGCGACGAUCCCUAGCUGGUCUGAGAGGAUGACCAGCCACACUGGAACUGAGACACGGUCCAGACUCCUACGGGAGGCAGCAGUGGGGAAUAUUGCACAAUGGGCGCAAGCCUGAUGCAGCCAUGCCGCGUGUGUGAAGAAGGCCUUCGGGUUGUAAAGCACUUUCAGCGGGGAGGAAGGCGGUGAGGUUAAUAACCUCAUCGAUUGACGUUACCCGCAGAAGAAGCACCGGCUAACUCCGUGCCAGCAGCCGCGGUAAUACGGAGGGUGCAAGCGUUAAUCGGAAUUACUGGGCGUAAAGCGCACGCAGGCGGUCUGUCAAGUCGGAUGUGAAAUCCCCGGGCUCAACCUGGGAACUGCAUUCGAAACUGGCAGGCUAGAGUCUUGUAGAGGGGGGUAGAAUUCCAGGUGUAGCGGUGAAAUGCGUAGAGAUCUGGAGGAAUACCGGUGGCGAAGGCGGCCCCCUGGACAAAGACUGACGCUCAGGUGCGAAAGCGUGGGGAGCAAACAGGAUUAGAUACCCUGGUAGUCCACGCCGUAAACGAUGUCGAUUUGGAGGUUGUGCCCUUGAGGCGUGGCUUCCGGAGCUAACGCGUUAAAUCGACCGCCUGGGGAGUACGGCCGCAAGGUUAAAACUCAAAUGAAUUGACGGGGGCCCGCACAAGCGGUGGAGCAUGUGGUUUAAUUCGAUGCAACGCGAAGAACCUUACCUGGUCUUGACAUCCACAGAACUUAGCAGAGAUGCUUUGGUGCCUUCGGGAACUGUGAGACAGGUGCUGCAUGGCUGUCGUCAGCUCGUGUUGUGAAAUGUUGGGUUAAGUCCCGCAACGAGCGCAACCCUUAUCCUUUGUUGCCAGCGGUUAGGCCGGGAACUCAAAGGAGACUGCCAGUGAUAAACUGGAGGAAGGUGGGGAUGACGUCAAGUCAUCAUGGCCCUUACGACCAGGGCUACACACGUACUACAAUGGCAUAUACAAAGAGAAGCGACCUCGCGAGAGCAAGCGGACCUCAUAAAGUAUGUCGUAGUCCGGAUUGGAGUCUGCAACUCGACUCCAUGAAGUCGGAAUCGCUAGUAAUCGUAGAUCAGAAUGCUACGGUGAAUACGUUCCCGGGCCUUGUACACACCGCCCGUCACACCAUGGGAGUGGGUUGCAAAAGAAGUAGGUAGCUUAACCUUCGGGAGGGCGCUUACCACUUUGUGAUUCAUGACUGGGGUGA
RNAcentral lists this ribosomal RNA (1463 nucleotides) under uncultured Klebsiella sp. Its description in RNAcentral is "bacterial SSU rRNA". It matches the Rfam family "Bacterial small subunit ribosomal RNA". Lineage: Bacteria; Pseudomonadati; Pseudomonadota; Gammaproteobacteria; Enterobacterales; Enterobacteriaceae. The record is from RNAcentral.